This 537-nucleotide ribosomal RNA is filed under the name uncultured Mycobacterium sp. RNAcentral's name for it is "bacterial SSU rRNA". It matches the Rfam family "Bacterial small subunit ribosomal RNA", at positions 54 to 606 of the family's 1533-position model. The record is from RNAcentral. Lineage: Bacteria; Bacillati; Actinomycetota; Actinomycetes; Mycobacteriales; Mycobacteriaceae.
CAUGCAAGUCGAACGGAAAGUGCUCUUCGGAGUGACUCGAGUGGCGAACGGGUGAGUAACACGUGGGUGAUCUGCCCUGCACUUUGGGAUAAGCCUGGGAAACUGGGUCUAAUACCGGAUAGGACCAUGGCCUUCAUGGGUUGUGGUGGAAAGCUUUUGCGGUGUGGGAUGGGCCCGCGGCCUAUCAGCUUGUUGGUGGGGUAAUGGCCUACCAAGGCGACGACGGGUAGCCGGCCUGAGAGGGUGUCCGGCCACACUGGGACUGAGAUACGGCCCAGACUCCUACGGGAGGCAGCAGUGGGGAAUAUUGCACAAUGGGCGCAAGCCUGAUGCAGCGACGCCGCGUGAGGGAUGACGGCCUUCGGGUUGUAAACCUCUUUCAGUAGGGACGAAGCGUAAGUGACGGUACCUAUAGAAGAAACACCGGCCAACUACGUGCCAGCAGCCGCGGUAAUACGUAGGGUGCGAGCGUUGUCCGGAAUUACUGGGCGUAAAGAGCUCGUAGGUGGUUUGUCGCGUUGUUCGUGAAAACUCACA